RNAcentral lists this ribosomal RNA (89 nucleotides) under Indian arecanut yellow leaf disease phytoplasma. RNAcentral's name for it is "partial 16S ribosomal RNA". Lineage: Bacteria; Bacillati; Mycoplasmatota; Mollicutes; Acholeplasmatales; Acholeplasmataceae. The record is from RNAcentral.
GCUUAACGUUGUCCUGCUAUAGAAACUAUUAGACUAGAGUGAGAUAGAGGCAAGUGGAAUACCAUGUGUAGCGGUAAAAUGCGUAAAUA